AACGAACGCUGGCGGCAGGCCUAACACAUGCAAGUCGAACGCCCCGCAAGGGGAGUGGCAGACGGGUGAGUAACGCGUGGGAACCUACCUUUCGGUGCGGAAUAACUCCGGGAAACCGGAGCUAAUACCGCAUACGCCCUAUGGGGGAAAGAUUUAUCGCCGAUAGAUGGGCCCGCGUCGGAUUAGCUAGUUGGUGAGGUAACGGCUCACCAAGGCGACGAUCCGUAGCUGGUCUGAGAGGAUGAUCAGCCACACUGGGACUGAGACACGGCCCAGACUCCUACGGGAGGCAGCAGUGGGGAAUAUUGGACAAUGGGCGCAAGCCUGAUCCAGCCAUGCCGCGUGAGUGAUGAAGGCCUUAGGGUUGUAAAGCUCUUUCGCCGGUGAAGAUAAUGACGGUAACCGGAGAAGAAGCCCCGGCUAACUUCGUGCCAGCCGCCGCGGUAA
Molecule: ribosomal RNA, 447 nt
Filed under: uncultured bacterium
Lineage: Bacteria
Description: partial 16S ribosomal RNA
Rfam family: Bacterial small subunit ribosomal RNA
Source: RNAcentral